RNAcentral lists this ribosomal RNA (1346 nucleotides) under uncultured bacterium. Its description in RNAcentral is "partial 16S ribosomal RNA". It matches the Rfam family "Bacterial small subunit ribosomal RNA", at positions 28 to 1381 of the family's 1533-position model. The record is from RNAcentral.
GACGAACGCUAGCGGCGUGCUUAACACAUGCAAGUCGAACGGAAAGGCCCUGCUUUUGUGGGGUGCUCGAGUGGCGAACGGGUGAGUAACACGUGAGUAACCUGCCCUUGACUUUGGGAUAACUUCAGGAAACUGGGGCUAAUACCGGAUAGGAGCUCCUGCUGCAUGGUGGGGGUUGGAAAGUUUCGGCGGUUGGGGAUGGACUCGCGGCUUAUCAGCUUGUUGGUGGGGUAGUGGCUUACCAAGGCUUUGACGGGUAGCCGGCCUGAGAGGGUGACCGGCCACAUUGGGACUGAGAUACGGCCCAGACUCCUACGGGAGGCAGCAGUGGGGAAUAUUGCACAAUGGGCGGAAGCCUGAUGCAGCAACGCCGCGUGCGGGAUGACGGCCUUCGGGUUGUAAACCGCUUUCGCCUGUGACGAAGCGUGAGUGACGGUAAUGGGUAAAGAAGCACCGGCUAACUACGUGCCAGCAGCCGCGGUGAUACGUAGGGUGCGAGCGUUGUCCGGAUUUAUUGGGCGUAAAGGGCUCGUAGGUGGUUGAUCGCGUCGGAAGUGUAAUCUUGGGGCUUAACCCUGAGCGUGCUUUCGAUACGGGUUGACUUGAGGAAGGUAGGGGAGAAUGGAAUUCCUGGUGGAGCGGUGGAAUGCGCAGAUAUCAGGAGGAACACCAGUGGCGAAGGCGGUUCUCUGGGCCUUUCCUGACGCUGAGGAGCGAAAGCGUGGGGAGCGAACAGGCUUAGAUACCCUGGUAGUCCACGCUGUAAACGGUGGGUACUAGGUGUGGGGUCCAUUCCACGGGUUCCGUGCCGUAGCUAACGCUUUAAGUACCCCGCCUGGGGAGUACGGCCGCAAGGCUAAAACUCAAAGGAAUUGACGGGGCCCCGCACAAGCGGCGGAGCAUGCGGAUUAAUUCGAUGCAACGCGUAGAACCUUACCUGGGUUUGACAUGGAUCGGGAGUGCUCAGAGAUGGGUGUGCCUCUUUUGGGGUCGGUUCACAGGUGGUGCAUGGCUGUCGUCAGCUCGUGUCGUGAGAUGUUGGGUUAAGUCCCGCAACGAGCGCAACCCUUGUUCACUGUUGCCAGCACGUUAUGGUGGGGACUCAGUGGAGACCGCCGGGGUCAACUCGGAGGAAGGUGGGGAUGACGUCAAGUCAUCAUGCCCCUUAUGUCCAGGGCUUCACGCAUGCUACAAUGGCUGGUACAGAGAGUGGCGAGCCUGUGAGGGUGAGCGAAUCUCGGAAAGUCGGUCUCAGUUCGGAUUGGGGUCUGCAACUCGACCUCAUGAAGUCGGAGUCGCUAGUAAUCGCAGAUCAGCAACGCUGCGGUGAAUACGUUCCCGGGGCU